RNAcentral lists this ribosomal RNA (292 nucleotides) under uncultured eukaryote. RNAcentral's name for it is "partial 18S ribosomal RNA". It matches the Rfam family "Eukaryotic small subunit ribosomal RNA", at positions 6 to 314 of the family's 1831-position model. The record is from RNAcentral.
GGUUGAUCCUGCCAGUAGUCAUAUGCUUGUCCCAAAGAUUAAGCCAUGCAUGUCCAAGUAUAAACGAGUAUACGGUGAAACUGCGAAAGGCUCAUUAUAUCAGUUAUAAUUUACUUGAAGGAGAAAGAUUACAUGGAUAACCGUGGUAAUUCUAGAGCUAAUACAUGCAAAGAGCCCUCGCGGGUGGUAUUUAUUAGAUAAAACCUUUGCCUUUGGGCAGCUGGUGAGUCAUGAUAACUGGGCGGAUCGCAGGGCGUUGAGCCGGCGACGCUUCAAAGAAAUUUCUGCCCUA